UUGAACGCUGGCGGAAUGCUUUACACAUGCAAGUCGAGCGGCAGCGCGGGGGCAACCCUGGCGGCGAGCGGCGAACGGGUGAGUAAUGUAUCGGAACGUACCCUGUCGUGGGGGAUAACACAGCGAAAGCUGUGCUAAUACCGCAUACGACCUGAGGGUGAAAGCGGGGGAUCGCAAGACCUCGCGCGAUAGGAGCGGCCGAUAUCGGAUUAGCUAGUUGGUGGGGUAAAGGCCUACCAAGGCGACGAUCCGUAGCUGGUCUGAGAGGAUGAUCAGCCACACUGGGACUGAGACACGGCCCAGACUCCUACGGGAGGCAGCAGUGGGGAAUUUUGGACAAUGGGCGCAAGCCUGAUCCAGCCAUGCCGCGUGAGUGAAGAAGGCCUUCGGGUUGUAAAGCUCUUUCAGACGGAAAGAAAUCGGGCGCGUGAAUAGCGUGCCUGGAUGACGGUACUGUCAGAAGAAGCACCGGCUAACUACGU
RNAcentral lists this ribosomal RNA (482 nucleotides) under uncultured bacterium. RNAcentral describes it as "bacterial SSU rRNA". It matches the Rfam family "Bacterial small subunit ribosomal RNA", at positions 29 to 506 of the family's 1533-position model. The record is from RNAcentral.